CCUACGGGUGGCAGCAGUGGGGAAUAUUGCGCAAUGGGGGAAACCCUGACGCAGCAACGCCGCGUGAGUGAAGACGUCUCUCGGUAUGUAAAGCUCUAUCAGCGGGGAAGAAAGAAGACGGUACCCGACUAAGAAGCCCCUGCUAACUACGUGCCAGCAGCCGCGGUAAUACGUAGGGGGCGAGCGUUAUCCGGAUUUACUGGGGGUAAAGGGAGCGUAUAGGGCGUCGCAAGUCUGAAGUGAAAGCCCAUGGCUCAACCGCCGAACCGCAUUUGAAACUGGGUGUCUGGAGUGCUGGAGAGGCAAGCGGAAUUCGUGGGGUAGCGGUGAAAUGCGUAGAUAGCAGGAGGAACACCGGUGGCGAAGGCGGCUUACUGGACAGUGACUGACGUUGAGGCUCGAAAGCGUGGGGAGCGAACAGGAUUAGAUACCCCUGUAGUC
Molecule: ribosomal RNA, 441 nt
Filed under: uncultured bacterium
Lineage: Bacteria
Description: partial 16S ribosomal RNA
Rfam family: Bacterial small subunit ribosomal RNA
Source: RNAcentral